UACGUAGGAGGCGAGCGUUAUCCGGAUUUACUGGGCGUAAAGAGGACGCAGGCGGCUUUUCAAGUCAGAUGUAAAAUCUCCCGGCUCAACUGGGAGGGACCGUCUGAUACUGUUGAGCUUGAGUGCAGCAAAGGGAAGCGGAAUUCCCGGUGUAGUGGUGAAAUACGUAGAUAUCGGGAGGAACACCAGUGGCGAAAGCGGCUUUCUGGGCUGCAACUGACGCUGAGGUCCGAAAGCGUGGGGAG
Molecule: ribosomal RNA, 245 nt
Filed under: uncultured bacterium
Lineage: Bacteria
Description: partial 16S ribosomal RNA
Rfam family: Bacterial small subunit ribosomal RNA
Source: RNAcentral